RNAcentral lists this unclassified non-coding RNA (2559 nucleotides) under Octopus sinensis (East Asian common octopus). Its description in RNAcentral is "histone acetyltransferase KAT2A, transcript variant X1". Lineage: Eukaryota; Metazoa; Mollusca; Cephalopoda; Octopoda; Octopodidae. The record is from RNAcentral.
AAAAAGAAGGAAAGGCUGGCGUCACUUUUGCAGAACAAAGAAUCGAGAAAUGUGCUCGUUGGUGUUUAAGGAAAAUAAAUAAAAAUCAUCGUCGAGUGUUUUAAGAUUCUGUUGUUGUUAGUGUGAGUCGUUGUGGAGGUCGAAUGUUUGUUGGCGGCGUCGUGAAGGAGGAGGGAGGAGGCUAAGGAGAAAGUGUGGCUGGGUUUCUUGCAUGUGGGUCACUUCGUUUGUAGUCAAAGAUGGCUUCCACUAAUGGCGAUGCAAGCUCUGUUCUCACGGCUUCGAGUCUCUCGUCAUCUGUGGCGAUGUCACAAGCUAGUACAACCGAAACACCAUCCAUCAUAACACCAUCCAUGUCCAAUUCGACUGCAUCGACCCCGGAAUCUCAGUCAACGACCACCAUCUCGACUGGCAGACAGAAUUCGCAGCCAUCGACCACUGGCGAAAUGAGUCGAAGCAACACAAUGCAACGAAUCGCCCACAAAAAGGCCAUGGUGAAAGGCUAUCCACGACCCAAGAAACUAGAGAAACUGGCCGUCUACUCCUCCUGCAAGACAGAAGGUUGUAACUGUAACGGGUGGAAGAACCCGAAUCCUCCACCAACUCCUCCACGUGUUGACGUUUCUCAGCCCCUUGCUAGUCUUACAGAUCCUUGCCGUAGCUGCAGCCACACCCUUGGAGCUCAUGUAUCUCAUUUGGAAAAUGUUGCUGAAGAAGAGCUGAAUCGCUUGCUGCGAAUUGUAGUUGAUGUUGAAAAUCUCUUCAUGUGUGUUCAUAAAGAGGAAGACACAGAAACCAAAAGGGUUUAUUUUCAUUUAUUCAAAUUAUUACGAAAAUGUAUAAUGAACAUGUGCAAACCAAGCAUUGAUAUGGCUAUUGGAACACCUCCGUUUGAAAAACCAAGUAUAGCUAAGGGUGUCACAAAUUUUGUACUUUAUAAGUUUGGUCACUUAGCUCAGAAAGAAUGGCAGACAAUGUAUGACCUUGCUAAAAUGUUCCUACACUGUAUGAACCACUGGAAAUUAGAGAACCCCACAUUACACACACAACACACGAACAUGGAUGACCGGAACAAUUACCAAAGCAAUUAUACAAGGUGGCUGUGUUAUUGUCAUGUACCAGCUUUAUGUGAUAGCCUUCCACGUUAUGAAACCACAUUGAUAUUUGGGCGCACCUUGUUACGGUCAGUAUUUGAAACAAUGCGCAGACAGGUUCUCGAUAAAUUCCGGGCUGAGAAAGAAAUGAUGCCACCAGAGAAAAGAACAUUAGUCCUAACUCAUUUCCCAAGGUUUCUGUCUAUGUUAGAAGAAGAAGUUUAUGGCAACAAUUCCCCUAUAUGGGAUCCAGAUUUCUGCCAAAGUACCACUGGGAUGUCAUUAUCACCUUCUAGAAUUUCAGGAAAUGCUUUCAUCGCAUCCGCUAAUGCUUCCACAGUUGGUGUAAACCGUUUCCCCAAUUCCACACCCACAACAAGUACAGCUUCAGGUACUGAGGGAUCCAAUACAGUAAAAUCAAAUUAUUCAACCCCAACCAACAGCCAUCCAACCAAAACAAAAGAUGGUGGUACUGGCGAUAAACGACACCUAGAUGAGAUUCAAACUUCAGAAGUGAUCAAAAAGAGAAAAAUUGAAGGAGAUGUUGAUCAAGAACUAGUUGCCGAAAUCGUCUCAUUGAUUACUGAUCCUGAACAUAUGGUGGGCCCAGAUAAGACCUUGUUUCCCACUCACGCUGCUCGUGAUGAAAUUGCCCGACAAGAAGAAGGUAAAGGAGUGAUUGAGUUCAAAGUUAUGGCUAAUACAUUCACUGAACGUCCAAGUCGAGAACAACUUAUCUGGUUGAUUGGUCUUCAGAAUGUUUUCUCCCACCAACUACCCAGAAUGCCUAGAGAAUAUAUUACCAGACUGGUGUUUGACCCGAAACAUAAAUGUUUGGCAUUAAUUAAAGAAAAUAGAGUCAUUGGUGGAAUUUGUUUCCGGAUGUUUCCAACUCAAGGCUUUACUGAAAUUGUCUUUUGUGCUGUUACUUCUAAUGAGCAAGUGAAAGGAUAUGGCACUCAUAUGAUGAACCACUUGAAAGACUAUCAUAUCCAACAUGGUAUCCUUCAUUUUCUCACAUUUGCGGACGAAUAUGCAAUUGGUUAUUUCAAAAAGCAGGGCUUCUCAAAGGAUAUCAAGUUACAAAAAUCUGCCUAUUUAGGUUAUAUCAAAGACUACGAAGGAGCAACUCUUAUGGGCUGUGAACUAAAUCCCCGUAUCCAUUAUACAUGCUUUUCACAAAUAAUUCGCCGACAGAAAGAGAUUGUCAAGAAGAUUCUAGAGAAAAAACAAGAACUUCAAGACAAAGUGUACCCUGGUAUUAGCUGCUUCAAAGAGGGUGUCCGUCAAAUUCCAGUGGAAAGUAUCCCAGGAUUACUGGAAGCUGGAUGGAAAACUAGUCCUAAUAACAAUAUUCAUUUGAUCAUUAAAUAGGAAAGAGCCUGAUCCUGAUCCCGAACGGCUACAGUCAGUUCUAAAAAUGAUUCUUUUGCAAGUGAAGAAUCACCAGAGUGCCUGGCCAUUU